Molecule: ribosomal RNA, 3080 nt
Filed under: Triticum aestivum (bread wheat)
Lineage: Eukaryota; Viridiplantae; Streptophyta; Magnoliopsida; Poales; Poaceae
Description: partial small subunit ribosomal RNA
Source: RNAcentral
UUCCAUUCCAUCCCGAGAAAACAAAACAAAAAGAAAUACUUUCUCGGAGAGCAACAAGAGUCCACUAGUCCUACUCCGGUCCGGCCCUCCCCGCAGCCGCCGCGCGCACAGGCACAGCCCCACAGCCCCAAACCAGAGCGAGCGGUCGGCGGCGCGGCGGAAGGGGGAAUGAUGGAUGCGCGGCGUUGGCAGUCCCCGGCGGCGGCGGCCGCGGCGGCCGAGGCGGCGGCGGAGGACGCGUCGGGCGGCGGGGGCGGGCCCUCGAGGCGGCCGCCGCGCCGCGGGCUGCAGCGCGCGUCGCCCUACGGGCUGGGCCCCCGGCGCUGGCUCCCGAAGCCCCCGGUGGCCUCUAGUGUCUUCCCCGCCGCGUCCCGUGACCACGCCGCCGAAGGCGAUAAUCGGAUGGGUCAAUAUGAAUCAAUGGAUGUAGCGCAUGAAGCGAGCAGAGUAACGCAUGAAAAUAAGUCUAUGGAACCAAAUACCAAUGCUAUAACCAAUGUGGCCCUAGCGUUUUCAAACGAAGCCAACCUGCUGCCUGAAGGUGAUUACAUAAAUCGAAGCAGUGGACUUGCUGAAAUCGAGAAGAUCAUCAAACAGAAGCAAUUUUCUAGGGAUGAAACAGAACGUUUGAUAGAGAUCAUGCGUUCGAGGACUCCUGAUCUCCAUGAGGACGAUCAGAGAGCUACGCAGUCUUUUGCGAAAGAAACUGAAACUACACCGUUUUCUAACAAACUGGUGAUACCUGCAAAGCCAGAUGAACGAAAUUGGGGGACUGAUGUGUUUGCACAGUCAAAUGUGCAUGAUGUUACUUCACCCAUUGAACUUGCUAGAGCUUAUAUGGAAGCACAGACCUCAGCAAGUGUACAUGAAUCUCAAAAGAGAAAAUUCAGAGCUUUGAGUCAUGGAGUUGAAAUUGAGAAUUCAGCAUCAAAAAUCUUCCCUAAAGUGGCCAUGGACUCUCCUGUGCGCUGGCCAGGUUCAGUUGUCCGAGACCAUACAAACCACUACCUUACACCACAAAGUAAUAAACGAAGAGCUCUUCCUCCUGCAUCCUCUCGCUCACCAUAUACUGGCUCAGUUUUCCGAAGAUCUGUCAAGAGAACAGGACAGCUUGAUACCUAUAGUAACUUAUCUGGGCGGCCACAGCUUUCAACACCUUUUUCCGUUGGAAGUAAGGCUAUGCUAGAGGAUAAAAUGACAUCAACUGAUGGUGUUCUUGGAGUGCAACCAUCAACCUCUUCCGAAAGAGUACAUGCAGAUGCCGUUGGCACUGAUACUCCACAUACAUUCACCCUAGAAAGACCUCACGGCAAAGGCACCAUAGAAAGUGGCUCGAGUACUGGACGUGUACCAGUGGCAGACAAUAUUUCCAAGCAUGCUGCUGUAUCUGUUCAUCCGAAGUCAAGCCAGACAGCUCAGAAAAUACUCCAGCAUCUUGAGAGGACAAUUCCAUCCCCUACAGUAAAGCCAGAGCUAAGGCGAACUGCAAAGAGAACUAUUUCCCCUGUUGUCAUCAGCAGCCCGUAUAAAAUGCCCGACUCCGUCACUAAUAAUGCUCCCAGACAGAACAGCCUCAAUGAGCAUGCCAGUGCUUAUCAGGCAAUUUCAAAUGUGAAGAAGGUUCAGGAACCCCCAAGCAGCUCCAAUUGUGAGGAGCCGGCUCCAAAGGUCCAGAGCCCAGUGGCCACCCCAGAAGUUACUGAAAUGACCGGCUCACAGCAUCUUUCGAAGCCCGACGCGGCAACUGCACCAGCUGCAGCAGUCUCGGAUAAAAGCGCGACCAAUGGUUUCAUGUUCUCGUUCCCUGUCACCAAAACCUCAGUUUCGCUUCCAGAACCGCCACCCACUCCUACUUUCUUCUCACCGCCGAAAAGGAGCCCGCCAGCUGACAUCCAAGAUAUCCCCAAGUUCAACUUUGGCUCACCAAGUUCUACGGACAAUCUCGUUUUCUCUGUCGAUGCAGCAGGCGGCUCUGCUGGUGCAGAGGAAGUGGCUCCAACCUUCAAGUUUGGGUCGGACAAGCGAGAGCUUUCCUUCGACGUGGCUGGGAAAGACGCGGUUGUCUCUUAGAGAUGGGCAUCCUCUGCUAUCUGAACCCGCUCGCACUUGUUAUUUGCUGGGAUGACGGCACCAUUUAUAACAAACAAUACGUGACUUAUACAAGAAAACAUGGGCCUCGCAUACCCCAGUAUUUUCAAUGCAUAUUUUUGCAGAUGCUCCUGUCCUGAGUUGUGUGCCAUUUGCAGGAUCUCCCUCCUGUGGUUCUCUCAACCAGGCCUGGAGCUGGAGUCAGUUGGGCAUCAGCCAAUUUGGUGUCCACACAGCUUUGGUAUGCCUGAAUAAAAUUUCAUAAAGCAAUACCUUUUUGGUCCAAGGUAUGCCUCUGAUUAUAUAUGUAAUCUGUUGGAAAGGGCCUUCUUUUCUCCGUGGAACCGCGUCUGAUCGCUCUAAUUUCGAUGUAUCGUCCGACGCAAAAAAUGAAAAGAGGCAAGCAGGAUGAUCUGGUUCGCAAAGACAGGAGUCGAGUCCGAGUCAUGGGGGUGACCGGCUGAUGCAGAAAGGCAUUGACUGAUUGCGUUUUCGCGCUGGCCUGAUGCUACCUUUGAACUAAGCAUGGCCAAAAUAUAGCGUGUCACUCUCAUUAGAGGAGUAUUAUUAAUAGUGAUAGUCUAUCUCAUGCAUGCAUGGUGCUAAAUAAAAGUUAACUUCGACGCGUUUGGACGGUUGGGCAGGGAGACGACGUCGCCUUCGUGACAGCGUUCGUGGCCUGGAGAAAGGGGAAUCUUGUCCGUGCCAUUAUUGUAGGCUUGUAGUUAUAUAUCUGCCCGGCACGGCGGGUGUGAUUUGAGCGGUAGAUCGUCCGAUUAUGGGGUCGAUGAUGUUUAAGUCUCAACAGCCGAUCACAGUGUGUGCAGUGUAGUGGGCGUCCAGCGCCGGAUGGAGGAGCUUGGAAGCUUCAAGAAGCUGAAAAGUAGGACUACACAGGAUUCUGCAGAAUGUGUGUAUCUAUGAAAACUACUCCUGCUACUUGACAGUGAAAUCCACUAACCGCAUGAAUCCCAGAAGAAAUUCGAGGCGCC